RNAcentral lists this transfer RNA (69 nucleotides) under Hoplobatrachus rugulosus (rugose frog). RNAcentral describes it as "tRNA-Gly". It matches the Rfam family "tRNA". From Rfam's summary of the family: Transfer RNA (tRNA) molecules are approximately 80 nucleotides in length. Their secondary structure includes four short double-helical elements and three loops (D, anti-codon, and T loops). Further hydrogen bonds mediate the characteristic L-shaped molecular structure. tRNAs have two regions of fundamental functional importance: the anti-codon, which is responsible for specific mRNA codon recognition, and the 3' end, to which the tRNAs corresponding amino acid is attached (by aminoacyl-tRNA synthetases). tRNAs cope with the degeneracy of the genetic code in two manners: having more than one tRNA (with a specific anti-codon) for a particular amino acid; and 'wobble' base-pairing, i.e. permitting non-standard base-pairing at the 3rd anti-codon position. Lineage: Eukaryota; Metazoa; Chordata; Amphibia; Anura; Dicroglossidae. The record is from RNAcentral.
AUUCCCUUAGUACAGUCAGUAUAAGUGACUUCCAAUCACUCAGCCUUGGUUCAACCCCAAGAGGGAAUA